This is a long non-coding RNA of Asterias rubens (European starfish), 784 nucleotides long. RefSeq lists it as uncharacterized. The record is from RefSeq and is a predicted model, not a curated record. The transcript is spliced from 4 exons. NCBI's taxonomy places the organism in Eukaryota, Metazoa, Echinodermata, Asteroidea, Forcipulatida, Asteriidae.
GGAAGAGAGUUCAACCCUCCUGUCCAUUUACGACUUCAGAAUUAAAGCAACAGGACAAGGCAGAGAAUGUAUAGUCCCACCAUACAAAUACCUAGCUGUAAGGGGUUUUGAACCAAUCUUGGCCGACUGCAGAUCAGAGCUCAAAGAGUCAUCAGAAGAAUUGUAUCAAACAGAAAUCUAUUAAGUCUUCAGAAAUAGUAGCCUGAGGUACACAAAUACCGCUUGGAAAGAUGGAGGCAUGGCUUCAUCGUUCAGAGAAUUCAACUAAAUGUAAAAAAAGAAAAUGCUUUGAGAAGUGAGGUCAACAUGAACCACACCAUGAGAGAAUCCCUUUGGACAAUAAGGAUUGUGAGGAAAUCAGAUGAAGAGGGGGGGGGGAGAGAGUGUGUAACAUCGAGGGGGAAAACCCAUUACCACUGGCACAUAACAGGCUCUCUAUACAUCGACAGGUGGUAAGAAUGCCCUGUUGUAAAUUAUGGUACAGUCAAGGAUUUCCACAACACACCUGGGAGUCCGGGUUAUUCCAUUUAGCAGGGGAGAUUUCGUUGAUCAACUGCUGAGGGGAAAACAAUGGAAAGUAGACAGCAACUUGUGCAAGAUUGGGUUUCCAAAAGAACUGUGACCUGUGGGGUUUUGGUCAGAUGUUUUUUCACUAGUGCUGGAUUUCAGAUUAGUUUUAUGCUUCAGAUGUUCAAUAAAGUUUGCCAAACCACUUUUGUGUCACAGAUGUUUUACUUCUUUCUGUCUGUCCAGUUGUAUCUAUUACUUUGGAAGGAGCGUUUCC